AAGUAAACAUGGGACUGUUUGUAUUCG
RNAcentral lists this non-coding RNA (27 nucleotides) under Cricetulus griseus (Chinese hamster). The record is from RNAcentral. Lineage: Eukaryota; Metazoa; Chordata; Mammalia; Rodentia; Cricetidae.